Non-coding RNA from Triticum urartu, 872 nucleotides. The record is from RefSeq and is a predicted model, not a curated record. NCBI's taxonomy places the organism in Eukaryota, Viridiplantae, Streptophyta, Magnoliopsida, Poales, Poaceae.
GUCGUCGCCGUUCACAUUGCAGUCCUGCCGCUGUGCCCUAGCUGCCCGCUGCUCAGUCCGACUGAGCUCCGAUGGUGAAGCGGUACUGUGAUACAUCACACCCUGCAGGAACUAUUUGAUAUAGUUUGGCGACAGCUCUGCCUGGAUGGAAGAGGGCGACAAAAGAGUUUUGCGCCGGAGACGAGCAGUUGCUGGCCAAGUGCAACGUAGUAUGCUCCUAGUUUCCAAGCGUGAAGCAGCUCGAGUUGCACUCGACGGGCCUGACCUUGGAAGUGACACUGGACGAACUGAAGGGGAUGCUUCCUGAAGGCAAGGGGGCACUCACGAUGGAUUCUCGACCACGAGCUCGCUGGUACGAGUACCGCUCCCGCCUCUCGUGGUCAAAUCUAGAGCCGGAAGGGCCGGUGAAUAUGCGUAUUAUCGACGUCGUCGAUGAGGAAACAAAAGAGGAGGAUUUAGACGACGAGGAAGACGAUACUGACAAGGAGGAUGAGGAAGAUGAUUCCAACGAGCAGGAGGAGGAAGAGGAUUCUGACGAGGAUUAGGAGCACGAGUAGGUAGAAGAUUCUGACGAGGAGCGGGAGGAGGAUUUUGAUGAGGAGAACUCUGCACUUCAAAUGAAUUUUAUGUAAACACUAUUUAUUUUCGGUAUCAACAUUUGUUAUUUACGUGCGAUAUUGGCAUGUAUGAUAGAUGUGUACGGAUUUGAGAGUCCGGAUUUAAGAUAUGUAAAUGCCGGAAGCAAGAUACGAGGGUCCGCCCGAAUGCAUCCUCGGACGUGCCCGAUGCAUCCGCGGACGUAUAGGAUGUAAAUUUGCCAAAUCCGGUUGUAAAUGCUGUUAUCCAGUCGUUGUGCUAACUCGGGGGCAGCG